UACGUAGGGUGCAAGCGUUGUCCGGAAUUAUUGGGCGUAAAGAGCUCGUAGGCGGUUUGUCGCGUCUGCCGUGAAAGUCCGGGGCUCAACUCCGGAUCUGCGGUGGGUACGGGCAGACUAGAGUGAUGUAGGGGAGACUGGAAUUCCUGGUGUAGCGGUGAAAUGCGCAGAUAUCAGGAGGAACACCGGUGGCGAAGGCGGUUCUCUGGGCCGAUACUGACGCUGAGGAGCGAAAGCGUGGGGAGCGAACAGG
This 253-nucleotide ribosomal RNA is filed under the name uncultured bacterium. Its description in RNAcentral is "partial 16S ribosomal RNA". It matches the Rfam family "Bacterial small subunit ribosomal RNA", at positions 524 to 776 of the family's 1533-position model. The record is from RNAcentral.